CAGUAGCCGCGGUAAUACGUAGGGUGCAAGCGUUAAUCGGAAUUACUGGGCGUAAAGCGUGCGCAGGCGGUUUGUUAAGACAGAUGUGAAAUCCCCGGGCUCAACCUGGGAACUGCAUUUGUGACUGGCAGGCUAGAGUAUGGCAGAGGGGGGUGGAAUUCCGCGUGUAGCAGUGAAAUGCGUAGAUAUGCGGAGGAACACCGAUGGCGAAGGCAAUCCCCUGGGCCUGCACUGACGCUCAUGCACGAAAGCGUGGGGAGCAAACAGGAUUAGAUACCCCAGUAGUCCCUGUCUCUUAUAC
Molecule: ribosomal RNA, 301 nt
Filed under: uncultured bacterium
Lineage: Bacteria
Description: partial 16S ribosomal RNA
Rfam family: Bacterial small subunit ribosomal RNA
Source: RNAcentral